RNAcentral lists this ribosomal RNA (589 nucleotides) under uncultured Bacilli bacterium. RNAcentral's name for it is "bacterial SSU rRNA". It matches the Rfam family "Bacterial small subunit ribosomal RNA", at positions 64 to 612 of the family's 1533-position model. Lineage: Bacteria; Bacillati; Bacillota; Bacilli. The record is from RNAcentral.
GAACGCACUCUCGUUUAGAUUGAAGGAGCUUGCUCCUGAUUGAUAAACAUCUGAGUGAGUGGCGGACGGGUGAGUAACACGUGGGUAACCUGCCCUAAAGUGGGGGAUAACAUUUGGAAACAGAUGCUAAUACCGCAUAAAACCUAACACCGCAUGGUGUAGGGUUGAAAGAUGGUUUCGGCUAUCACUUUAGGAUGGACCCGCGGUGCAUUAGUUAGUUGGUGAGGUAAAGGCUCACCAAGACCGUGAUGCAUAGCCGACCUGAGAGGGUAAUCGGCCACACUGGUACUGAGACACGGCCCAGACUCCUACGGUAGGCAUCAGUAGGGAAUCUUCCACAAUGGACGAAAGUCUGAUGGAGCAACGCCGCGUGAGUGAAGAAGGUUUUCGGAUCGUAAAACUCUGUUGUUGGAGAAGAAUGUAUCUGAUAGUAACUGAUCAGGUAGUGACGGUAUCCAACCAGUAAGCCACGGCUAACUACGUGCCAGCAGCCGCGGUAAUACGUAGGUGGCAAGCGUUGUCCGGAUUUAUUGGGCGUAAAGCGAGCGCAGGCGGUUUCUUAAGUCUGAUGUGAAAGCCUUCGGCUCAA